CGUGAUGCGGAGCGAAAUGAAGUAGUGAAGCUGCGGCCCCUUCCUGUCGAGAAAAGCCGCUAUCGUGUAGCAAGGGCCCGUACCGUAAACCGACACAGGUGGAUGAGGAGAGGAUCCUAAGGCCGGCGGGAGAAGUGUUGUUAAGGAACUCGGCAAGAUGACUCCGUAACUUCGGGAGAAGGAGUGCUGCGCCAGCAGCCGCAGAGAAAUGGCCCAAGCAACUGUUUAGCAAAAACACAGGUCUAUGCGAAACCGAAAGGUGAGGUAUAUGGGCUGACGCCUGCCCGGUGCUGGAAGGUUAAGGGGAGAGCUUAGCGCGAGCGAAGGUUUGAACUUAAGCCCCAGUAAACGGCGGCCGUAACAAUAACGGUCCUAAGGUAGCGAAAUUCCUUGUCGGGUAAGUUCCGACCCGCACGAAAGGCGUAAUGAUUUGGGCACUGUCUCAACAACACACCCGGUGAAAUUGAAAUACCAGUGAAGAUGCUGGUUACCCGCGCCAGGACGGAAAGACCCCAUGGAGCUUUACUCCAGCCUGAUACUGGGAUUCGGUAUUGCAUGUACAGGAUAGGUGGGAGGCUAAGAACUCAUGGCGCCAGCCGUGAGGGAGCCGAUGUUGGGAUACCACCCCUGCAGUACUGGGUUUCUAACCUGCGCCCGUGACCCGGGCGGGGGACAAUGUCAGGCGGGGAGUUUGACUGGGGCGGUCGCCUCCGAAAGGGUAUCGGAGGCGCUCAAAGGUCUCCUCAGGAUGGUUGGAAACCAUCCAGAGAGUGCAAAGGCAGAAGGAGGCUUGACUGCGACACCGACGGGUGGAGCAGGUACGAAAGUAGGACUUAGUGAUCCGGUGGCAUAAAGUGGGAUUGCCAUCGCUCAACGGAUAAAAGCUACCCUGGGAUAACAGGCUUAUCACUCCCAAGAGUUCACAUCGACGGAGUGGUUUGGCACCUCGAUGUCGGCUCAUCGCAUCCUGGAGCUGGAGCAGGUUCCAAGGGUUGGGCUGUUCGCCCAUUAAAGCGGUACGCGAGCUGGGUUCAGAACGUCGUGAGACAGUUCGGUCCCUAUCCGGCGCGGGCGCAGGAUAUCUGAGAGUAGCUGUCCUUAGUACGAGAGGACCGGGAUGGACCGUCCGCUGGUGGACCGGUUGUCAUGCCAAUGGCACGGCCGGGUAGCCAAGACGGGAAGGGAUAAACGCUGAAGGCAUCUAAGCGUGAAGCCCCCCUCAAGAUGAGAUAUCCAUACUCGAAAGAGUGAGAGACCCCUUAGAGACGAUGAGGUAGAUAGGGCAGAGAUGGAAGCACAGCGAUGUGUGGAGUUGACUGUUACUAAUCGGUCGAAAGCUUG
This 1341-nucleotide ribosomal RNA is filed under the name metagenome. Its description in RNAcentral is "bacterial LSU rRNA". It matches the Rfam family "Bacterial large subunit ribosomal RNA", at positions 1562 to 2925 of the family's 2925-position model. The record is from RNAcentral.